Molecule: small RNA, 152 nt
Filed under: Octactis speculum
Lineage: Eukaryota; Dictyochophyceae; Dictyochales; Dictyochaceae
Description: partial transfer-messenger RNA
Source: RNAcentral
AUUAGUUUCUCGUAGUUAUCUGCUCAUGCAAAAGCGUAUUCGUGCUAAGGUGGCUGAUGAGAAGUAUUACAAAUCUGUGAACGAACCGAUGCCGGGCGUGAAAUGGGGGGAAUUUAAGAUUUUUGUGCUGGGGAUAGGUUUUUACGCCGCAA